This 177-nucleotide non-coding RNA is filed under the name Clostridium sp. RNAcentral describes it as "6S RNA". It matches the Rfam family "6S / SsrS RNA". From Rfam's summary of the family: E. coli 6S RNA was the first non coding RNA to be sequenced, but its function was unknown until recently. The record is from RNAcentral. Lineage: Bacteria; Bacillati; Bacillota; Clostridia; Eubacteriales; Clostridiaceae. RNAcentral also lists the same sequence under 3 other names.
AACUACCUGGAAUGUUCGAUAUUCUUACCAAUUUUGAACCUACAUUAGACAACAGGGAUUCCAAUAUUUUCAGGCGGAUGUCAGGCCUCCAUUGAGUGGAAGGCAGAUGUCUGAGUGAGGUUGCCCACCUAGCUUUGCUAGGCGUCAAUAAGUAAGAGACGGCAUUUUGGGGCUACA